GAGUAAUGUCUGGGAAACUGCCUGAUGGAGGGGGAUAACUACUGGAAACGGUGGCUAAUACCGCAUAACGUCGCAAGACCAAAGAGGGGGACCUUCGGGCCUCUUGCCAUCAGAUGUGCCCAGAUGGGAUUAGCUAGUUGGUGAGGUAACGGCUCACCAAGGCGACGAUCCCUAGCUGGUCUGAGAGGAUGACCAGCCACACUGGAACUGAGACACGGUCCAGACUCCUACGGGAGGCAGCAGUGGGGAAUAUUGCACAAUGGGCGCAAGCCUGAUGCAGCCAUGCCGCGUGUAUGAAGAAGGCCUUCGGGUUGUAAAGUACUUUCAGCGGGGAGGAAGGUGUUGUGGUUAAUAACCACAGCAAUUGACGUUACCCGCAGAAGAAGCACCGGCUAACUCCGUGCCAGCAGCCGCGGUAAUACGGAGGGUGCAAGCGUUAAUCGGAAUUACUGGGCGUAAAGCGCACGCAGGCGGUCUGUCAAGUCGGAUGUGAAAUCCCCGGGCUCAACCUGGGAACUGCAUUCGAAACUGGCAGGCUUGAGUCUUGUAGAGGGGGGUAGAAUUCCAGGUGUAGCGGUGAAAUGCGUAGAGAUCUGGAGGAAUACCGGUGGCGAAGGCGGCCCCCUGGACAAAGACUGACGCUCAGGUGCGAAAGCGUGGGGAGCAAACAGGAUUAGAUACCCUGGUAGUCCACGCCGUAAACGAUGUCUACUUGGAGGUUGUGCCCUUGAGGCGUGGCUUCCGGAGCUAACGCGUUAAGUAGACCGCCUGGGGAGUACGGCCGCAAGGUUAAAACUCAAAUGAAUUGACGGGGGCCCGCACAAGCGGUGGAGCAUGUGGUUUAAUUCGAUGCAACGCGAAGAACCUUACCUGGUCUUGACAUCCACAGAACUUUCCAGAGAUGGAUUGGUGCCUUCGGGAACUGUGAGACAGGUGCUGCAUGGCUGUCGUCAGCUCGUGUUGUGAAAUGUUGGGUUAAGUCCCGCAACGAGCGCAACCCUUAUCCUUUGUUGCCAGCGGUCCGGCCGGGAACUCAAAGGAGACUGCCAGUGAUAAACUGGAGGAAGGUGGGGAUGACGUCAAGUCAUCAUGGCCCUUACGACCAGGGCUACACACGUGCUACAAUGGCGCAUACAAAGAGAAGCGACCUCGCGAGAGCAAGCGGACCUCAUAAAGUGCGUCGUAGUCCGGAUUGGAGUCUGCAACUCGACUCCAUGAAGUCGGAAUCGCUAGUAAUCGUGGAUCAGAAUGCCACGGUGAAUACGUUCCCGGGCCUUGUACACACCGCCCGUCACACCAUGGGAGUGGGUUGCAAAAGAAGUAGGUAGCUUAACCUUCGGGAGGGCGCUUACCACUUUGUGAUUCAUGACUGGGGUGAAGUCGUAACAAGGUAACCGUAGGGGAACCUGC
Molecule: ribosomal RNA, 1410 nt
Filed under: Salmonella enterica subsp. enterica serovar Newport
Lineage: Bacteria; Pseudomonadati; Pseudomonadota; Gammaproteobacteria; Enterobacterales; Enterobacteriaceae
Description: bacterial SSU rRNA
Rfam family: Bacterial small subunit ribosomal RNA
Source: RNAcentral